RNAcentral lists this ribosomal RNA (201 nucleotides) under uncultured bacterium. RNAcentral's name for it is "partial 16S ribosomal RNA". It matches the Rfam family "Bacterial small subunit ribosomal RNA", at positions 1300 to 1500 of the family's 1533-position model. The record is from RNAcentral.
GCAGUCUGCAACUCGACUGCAUGAAGCUGGAAUCGCUAGUAAUCGCGAAUCAGCAUGUCGCGGUGAAUACGUUCCCGGGUCUUGUACACACCGCCCGUCACACCAUGAGAGUUGGGGAUACCCAAAGCCCGUGAGCCAACUAUAAAGAGGCAGCGGUCUAAGGUAGAAUCAAUGAUUGGGGUGAAGUCGUAACAAGGUAUC